GACGAACGCCGGCGGCGUGCCUAAUACAUGCCAGUAGAACGCACAGUUUAUACCGUAGCUUGCUACACCAUAGACUGUGAGUUGCGAACGGGUGAGUAACGCGUAGGUAACCUGCCUGGUAGCGGGGGAUAACUAUUGGAAACGAUAGCUAAUACCGCAUAAUAUUAAUUAUUGCAUGAUAAUUAAUUGAAAGGUGCAAUUGCACCACUACCAGAUGGACCUGCGUUGUAUUAGCUAGUAGGUGAGGUAACGGCUCACCUAGGCGACGAUACAUAGCCGACCUGAGAGGGUGAUCGGCCACACUGGGACUGAGACACGGCCCAGACUCCUACGGGAGGCAGCAGUAGGGAAUCUUCGGCAAUGGACGAAAGUCUGACCGAGCAACGCCGCGUGAGUGAAGAAGGGUUUCGGAUCGUAAAGCUCUGUUGUAAGAGAAGAACGGGUGUGAGAGUGGAAAGUUCACACUGUGACGGUAUCUUACCAGAAAGGGACGGCUAACUACGUG
RNAcentral lists this ribosomal RNA (505 nucleotides) under uncultured bacterium. Its description in RNAcentral is "partial 16S ribosomal RNA". It matches the Rfam family "Bacterial small subunit ribosomal RNA", at positions 28 to 507 of the family's 1533-position model. The record is from RNAcentral.